RNAcentral lists this long non-coding RNA (1322 nucleotides) under Phasianus colchicus (ring-necked pheasant). RNAcentral describes it as "lncRNA (ENSPCLG00000013360.1)". Lineage: Eukaryota; Metazoa; Chordata; Aves; Galliformes; Phasianidae. The record is from RNAcentral.
AGGGUCACUAUGGGGCCGAUAUGGGGUCACUAUGGGGCCGAUAUGGGGACACUAUGAGGCCGAUAUGGGGUCGAUAUGGGGCCAAUAUGGGGUCACUAUGGGGGCACUUUGGGGUCGCUACGGGAAUGCUAUGGGGUCACUAUGGGGCCGGUAUGGGAUCACUAUACGGAUGCUCUAUAGGGUCUUUAUAGGUUUCUGCAGGGUUGUUUGGGGUCUCUAUGGGAUCUCUAUGGGUUCUCUAUGGGGACUUUAUGGGGUCUGAAGGUUUUGAGGGCUCUGUGGGGGCUCUAUGGGGCUCUAUCAGGCUCUAUAGGGUCUCUAUAGGUUUCUGUGGAGUUCUUUGGGGUCUCUAUGAGGUCUCUGUAAUCAGAAGAUUUUGGGGUCUCUAUAGGUCCCCUAUGGGGUCUGAAGGUUUUGAGAGCUCUAUGGGGUCUCUAUGGGAUCCCUAUGGGGUCUGAGGAUUUUGGGGUCCCCAUGGGGUCUCUGCAGGGUGUCUAUGGGGCUCUAUGGGUUGCUAUGGGGUCUCUAUGGGGUCUGAAGGUUUUGAGGGCUCUAUGGGGGCUCUAUGGGGCUCUAUCGGGCUCUAUAGGGUCUCUGUAGGUUUCUGUGGGGUUCUUUGGGGUCUCUAUGGGGUCUCUAUGGGAUCUUAUGGGGUCUGAAGUUUUUGAAAGCUCUAUGGGGUCUCUAUGGGAUCCUUAUGGGAUCUGAAGGUUUUGAGAGCUCUAUGGGGUCUCUAUGGGAUUCCUAUGGGGUUUGAGGAUUCUGGGGUCCCCAUGGGGUCCCUAUGGGGCUGAUAUGGGGUCACUAUGGGGCUGAUAUGGGAUCACUAUACAGAUGCUAUGGGGUCGCUAUGGGGACACUAUGGGGUUUACAUGGGGAUGUUAUGGGGUCGCUACGGGGCCGAUAUGGGGUCACUAUGGGGCUGAUAUGGGAUCACUAUACAGAUGCUAUGGGGUCACUAUUGGGCCAAUAUGGGGUCACUACGGGGCUGAUAUGGGGUCACUACGCGGAUGCUACGGGGACGCUACGGGGUUGCCAUGGAGGCACUGUGGGGUCGAUAUGGGGUCUGUAUGGAGGCACUUUGGGGUCACUGUGGGGCCGUUAGGGGCUGAGUGUGGGGUCGCUCCGCCAGGUGGCUCUGCGCUCGCUGCCGGAGGAGGCGGUGAAGGAGACCUUGGAGUACAAAGUGCUGCAGUCACAGUUCUCGCUGCUGUACCACGAGAGCCUGCAGGUGAAGACGCAGCUGGACGAGGCGCGCGCCCUCCUCCUGGCCACCAAGAACAGCCACCUGCGUCACAUCGAGCACAUGGAGAGCGAUGAGC